UGGGGAAUAUUGCACAAUGGGCGCAAGCCUGAUGCAGCCAUGCCGCGUGUGUGAAGAAGGCCUUCGGGUUGUAAAGCACUUCAGCGAGGAGGAAGGUGGUGAGCUUAAUACGCUCAUCAAUGACGU
Molecule: ribosomal RNA, 126 nt
Filed under: uncultured bacterium
Lineage: Bacteria
Description: partial 16S ribosomal RNA
Rfam family: Bacterial small subunit ribosomal RNA
Source: RNAcentral